GAUGAACGCUGGCGGCGUGCCUAAUACAUGCAAGUCGAGCGAACAGACGAGGAGCUUGCUCCUCUGCCGUUAGCGGCGGACGGGUGAGUAACACGUGGAUAACCUACCUAUAAGACUGGGAUAACUUCGGGAAACCGGAGCUAAUACCGGAUAAUAUAUUGAACCGCAUGGUUCAAUAGUGAAAGACGGUUUUGCUGUCCCUUAUAGAUGGAUCCGCGCCGCAUUAGCUAGUUGGUAAGGUAACGGCUUACCAAGGCAACGAUGCGUAGCCGACCUGAGAGGGUGAUCGGCCACACUGGAACUGAGACACGGUCCAGACUCCUACGGGAGGCAGCAGUAGGGAAUCUUCCGCAAUGGGCGAAAGCCUGACGGAGCAACGCCGCGUGAGUGAUGAAGGUCUUCGGAUCGUAAAACUCUGUUAUUAGGGAAGAACAAAUGUGUAAGUAACUAUGCACGUCUUGACGGUACCUAAUCAGAAAGCCACGGCUAACUACGUG
RNAcentral lists this ribosomal RNA (497 nucleotides) under uncultured bacterium. RNAcentral's name for it is "partial 16S ribosomal RNA". It matches the Rfam family "Bacterial small subunit ribosomal RNA", at positions 28 to 507 of the family's 1533-position model. The record is from RNAcentral.